Molecule: ribosomal RNA, 1511 nt
Filed under: uncultured bacterium
Lineage: Bacteria
Description: bacterial SSU rRNA
Rfam family: Bacterial small subunit ribosomal RNA
Source: RNAcentral
AGAGUUUGAUCCUGGCUCAGGACGAACGCUGGCGGCGUGCUUAACACAUGCAAGUCAAGGAGAACGGAUUCUUCGGGAUACAAGUAAACUGGCGAACGGGUGAGUAACACGUAGGUAAUCUACCCUAGAGAUUGGGAUAACUCCGGGAAACCGGAGCUAAUACUGAAUAAUACAACGGAUUCUUCGGGAUAUGUUGUUAAAGCGGGCUUUUGCUCGCACUCUAGGAUGAGCCUGCGUCCGAUUAGCUUGUUGGUGGGGUAAUGGCCUACCAAGGCGAUGAUCGGUAGCUGGUCUGAGAGGAUGAUCAGCCACACUGGGAUUGAGAUACGGCCCAGACUCCUACGGGAGGCAGCAGUGGGGAAUUUUGCGCAAUGGGCGAAAGCCUGACGCAGCAACGCCGCGUGAUCGAUGAAGCUUUUCGGAGUGUAAAGAUCUGUCGUGAGGGAAGAAUAACUUGGAUGCAAAUAGUUUUCAAGUCUGACGGUACCUUACAAGAAAGCACCGGCUAACUUCGUGCCAGCAGCCGCGGUAAUACGAGGGGUGCUAGCGUUGUCCGGAAUCAUUGGGCGUAAAGGGUCCGUAGGUGUCUUUGCAAGUCGUUUGUUACAUCCACCGGCUUAACCGGUGGCCUGCAAUCGAAACUGCAAGGAUAGAGUUCGAGAGAGGAAAGUGGAAUUCCUGGUGUAGCGGUGAAAUGCGCAGAUAUCAGGAGGAACACCGACAGCGAAAGCAGCACUCUGGGCCGGUACUGACGCUGAGGAGCGAAAGCGUGGGGAGCGAACAGGAUUAGAUACCCUGGUAGUCCACGCCGUAAACGUUGGGCACUAGGUGUGGGAUCUAACUAACAGAUUCCGUGCCGUAGCUAACGCAUUAAGUGCCCCGCCUGGGGAGUACGGCCGCAAGGCUAAAACUCAAAGGAAUUGACGGGGACCCGCACAAGCGGUGGAGCAUGUGGUUUAAUUCGAUGCAACGCGAAGAACCUUACCUGGUCUUGACAUCCUGCGAACUUUCUAGAAAUAGAUUGGUGCCUUCGGGAACGCAGUGACAGGUGCUGCAUGGCUGUCGUCAGCUCGUGUCGUGAGAUGUUGGGUUAAGUCCCGUAACGAGCGCAACCCCUAUCCUUAUUUGCCAGCACAUUAUGGUGGGAACUAUAAGGAGACUGCCGGUGAUAAACCGGAGGAAGGCGGGGACGACGUCAAGUCAUCAUGGCCCUUACGACCAGGGCUACACACGUGCUACAAUGGGAAGGACAAAGAGCCGCGAAGCCGCGAGGUGUAGCUAAUCUCAUAAAUCUUUUCGUAGUCCGGAUUGGAGUCUGCAACUCGACUCCAUGAAGUCGGAAUCGCUAGUAAUCGUAGAUCAGAAUGCUACGGUGAAUACGUUCCCGGGUCUUGUACACACCGCCCGUCAUACCAUGGGAGUGGGUUGCACCAGAAGUGGCUAGUCUAACUUUGUGAGGACGGUCACCACGGUGUGAUUCAUGACUGGGGUAAAGUCGUAACAAGGUAACC